RNAcentral lists this ribosomal RNA (495 nucleotides) under uncultured bacterium. RNAcentral's name for it is "partial 16S ribosomal RNA". It matches the Rfam family "Bacterial small subunit ribosomal RNA", at positions 28 to 507 of the family's 1533-position model. The record is from RNAcentral.
GACGAACGCUGGCGGCGUGCCUAAUACAUGCAAGUCGAACGCUGAAGGAGGAGCUUGCUUCUCUGGAUGAGUUGCGAACGGGUGAGUAACGCGUAGGUAACCUGCCUGGUAGUGGGGGAUAACUAUUGGAAACGAUAGCUAAUACCGCAUAAUAGCAGUUGUUGCAUGAUAACCGUUUGAAAGGUGCAAUUGCACCGCUACCAGAUGGACCUGCGUUGUAUUAGCUAGGUGGGGGGGUAACGGCUCACCAAGGCGACGAUGCCUAAGCGACCUGAGAGGGGGAUCGGCCUCACUGGGACGGUAGCACGGCCCCGCCUUCUACGGGUGGCACCAGUAGGGGAUCUUCCGGGAUGGAAGGAAGUCUGACCAAGCAACGCCGCGUGAGUGACGGAGGUUGUCAGGUCGUAAAGCUCUGUUGUAAGAGAAGGACGAAUGUGGGUGUUAAAAGUUCACACAAUGACGGUACCUUACCAGUAAGCGACGGCUAACUCCGUG